AGAGAGGGCAGGAUUUUAUUAUCAGCUAAUGAGACUAAUUCCUUGAUUCAUCUGUUUGCUUUUACCAAGGGCAUCUGACCAAUAACACUUCCAGAAAAACUAAUAUGUUGUCUUCCUUUUAGUAAAUAAGCCGAGGGACUAAGAAUUCAGCAGAAGAGUUGCCUACAUAGAUCUUUUCAAUACUCCUCCACUGACAAGAACAAGAACAAAAACAAGAACAACAAAAAUAACAACAACCAGCCCACACUUUUAAUCCCAGCAAAGCAGAGGCAGACAGAUCUCUGUGAGUUAUUAAACCAGCAUUGUCUACAUGGAGAAGUCUAGUCCAGACAGGGCUAGUGAAGCUGUAUGUCAAAAAUUAAUCAACUAAAACCCAGUAGCUCAGCUCCUUACUGACCGAAGGGUGCUUCACACAUUUAUUUCUUCAGCUCCAUCCUACUCUGGGCUGUGUUUUUGCACUGGAAGCAUUUCCAUUGGUUUGCGCAUCACCUCGACGGCUGGGGAUGCUCUCGCACUGUUACUGUAAAUUUUACAUGAGUUUUAUAAAGUAGAGCUUGUCCUUGGCUGCAGGCACUCCUCUUCUUAAACCCCGGAUUUGAGCUUAUGUCACUUGAGUGUUUUGUAUGCACCACUAAACUUUGGUUAGCCCGACUGGUCUUUCCACCUCUCUAGACAAGGGGGCAAUCCUGGUGUUCUGCCAGGUUUCCUGAAGUCCUUUUGUACUCUCAUUCAGCGUCUUUGGGAUUUACUUCUUCUGACUUCCUCAUGAGCUACUUUCUGAGAACUGUCCUUGGCCAACUGGAGCAGCUUGCCCACAAAUAAGCAGCACUGGGUGCAUGUGGAAGUUCAUCUCCCAGGGAAAGCUCAUGAACCAUGGCCAACCCAAAUAGGAACACCAACUGCCUUCUGGGCAGCUGGUCCCAUUCCAGUCUCAAGGCAUCCUAUCUGGGCCAGGCUGAGAUAGACCAUGGUGGCAGUCUAGAUCCUUGUUCCCACUUCCAUGAGUGUUUUCUGUAGGAAUACUUCCUUAUUGAUGAUCAGAUACUUAGCCUCACUCCAAAAUUAUUACGUAAUUCAAAUGACUUCAUUCUGACUCGUAGUUAUUAAAUCAGGAAGGCCGAUGACAAUUAUUGACCUUCCUGCUUUAAUGGUGUCCUGGGACUCAGAAGCCCAGGAAUAGCACAGCUAUGAGAGAAAUUCUCCUCAGCAGAGGUAUUGCAGCUUCCAAGGGCGAGUCUCCCUAGCUGAGCUGAAGAUCUCAGGAGCCUCAGUGCCACUCCUUCUCGUCACUGCUUCCCUGCUUCUCUUCAUUGCUUCUUAGCUCCUUCUGAUGAGAGAGAGUCACAUCAGGCAUUAAAUCUCAUAUAAGAAAUUUAUUGGAGGAAGAACGUUGUGGAGGGACAGAUCCAGGGAGCAUCCAGGAUGGAUCCUCCUUUCCCUAGAAGGAGCACACAGCAGGGAACCGAGGAGACACAGUCAUUAUAUAGGGUUUCUUAUGGGAGGAGUGGAGAGCUUUCUAGGUUGGUGGGUUUUCCUCUUCCGGGAUUGGUGGGUUUUCCUCUUCUGGGAUUGGUGGGUUUUCCUCUUCCGGGAUUGGUGGGUUUUCCUCUUCCGGGAUUGGUGGGUUUUCCUCUUCCGGGAUUGGUGGGUUUUCCUCUUCCGGGAUUGGUGGGUUUUCCUCUUCCGGGAUUGGUGGGUUUUCCUCUUCAUGGAUUGGUGGGUUUAUGUGGAAAGUUCAGGGAUUGGUGGGAUUUUAUAUUCAAGGGUUGGUGGCUUUUGUUCAGUCUUCUCACCUAAAUUAGCGUAAUCUGGGAGUGUCCUGUUGAGGCUAUUGGUGAUAACCUUUGUGACAGUCACAGAGGCUGGAAAAGCUCUUCGGUCUGUUACAGAAGUCUGUGGGGAGAGCCUGGCUGAAGGAGCUCCUUAGGCAGGGGCCUGGCCACUUUCAUGUCUUGAAGCAGGCUGGCAGAGAAAUGGAGGGGAGUUUCCCAUUGGCUGAAGCUACUGCUCUGUUGUUUUCCCAGUUUCCUUCCCACAAGAAAGCAAACAGAUGAACAUCCGCUGGAUGUGCUAAGGGACACCUGUGAAUUCUGAAUCCUGGGCAGAGUCAGAAGCUCAAGUGUAAGGUCAACCUAGAACACAUGGAGCUCAUGUAGCCCAGGAUGGUCCUUAAAUAACAGAAGACACAGAAGACAACUUUGAACUUCUGCUCCUCCUGCCUUCAUCCCACAAGUGCUGGAAUCAGAGUCAUGUGCUUUCAGGGCCUAUUUAUGUGGUGCUGAGAAGCAAACCCAGGACGUCACGCAUCCUACACAAGCAAACACUCUACUCACUGGCCAACAUCCUUAACACCCGCCCGACUUAUAAUUUCUACAUAUUGCAGUUCAAAUUUCAUAUAGCUGAAUUAUUAUGAGUUGUAUACUAGGAAAUUGCUUUGACUCAAACAUUAAACUAAUUAUGUGACUAA
Molecule: long non-coding RNA, 2467 nt
Organism: Rattus norvegicus (Norway rat)
Lineage: Eukaryota; Metazoa; Chordata; Mammalia; Rodentia; Muridae
Source: RefSeq, a predicted model, not a curated record